AACGAACGCUGGCGGCAUGCCUAACACAUGCAAGUCGAACGAGACCUUCGGGUCUAGUGGCGCACGGGUGCGUAACGCGUGGGAACCUGCCCUUAGGUUCGGAAUAACUCCCCGAAAGGGGUGCUAAUACCGGAUAAUGUCUUCGGACCAAAGAUUUAUCGCCUUUGGAUGGGCCCGCGUUGGAUUAGCUAGUUGGUAGGGUAAAAGCCUACCAAGGCGACGAUCCAUAGCUGGUCUGAGAGGAUGAUCAGCCACACUGGGACUGAGACACGGCCCAGACUCCUACGGGAGGCAACAGUGGGGAAUAUUGGACAAUGGGCGAAAGCCUGAUCCAGCAAUGCCGCGUGAGUGAUGAAGGCCUUAGGGUUGUAAAGCUCUUUUACCCGGGAUGAUAAUGACAGUACCGGGAGAAUAAGCUCCGGCUAACUCCGU
Molecule: ribosomal RNA, 432 nt
Filed under: uncultured bacterium
Lineage: Bacteria
Description: partial 16S ribosomal RNA
Rfam family: Bacterial small subunit ribosomal RNA
Source: RNAcentral